Molecule: ribosomal RNA, 603 nt
Filed under: Triticum aestivum (bread wheat)
Lineage: Eukaryota; Viridiplantae; Streptophyta; Magnoliopsida; Poales; Poaceae
Description: partial small subunit ribosomal RNA
Source: RNAcentral
AUGAGGAAGGAGGGAUUUGUGCCCAUGCCAAGUUCACUGGGCUGCCGUGUUUCACACUCCUACAUUGUAACAGUGGAGCUGCCGGCUGGCGUCAAGUUCGAUCCCACGGAUCAGGAGCUGAUCGAGCACCUUGAGGCAAAAGUGAGUGCUGAUAGCACGAGAUCUCACCCUCUCAUCGAUUUGUUCAUAGCAACCAUCGACAGCGAGCACGUCUAUGCUACACCCAUCCCGAGAAACUUCCAGCACAAUUCCAGGGCGUUCAAAAGGGGCACGUGGACGCGUCACGAGAUACAGUCGGAGUGCGGCAUGCACGCGAUGGGGCACAAGACUGGCAAUACCUUGCCGGUGAUGGUCAACAGCCGGCAGACGGGCAGCAAAAAGGUUGUGGUGCUGCACACCAACAAGAACGUCGACCAGCAGAGGACCAACUGCGUGAUGCACCAGUACCACCUCGGGGACCUAGAGCAAGAGAAGGAGCGGGAGCUGGUCCUCUGCAAGUUGGUAUUGUUGUUAACGAUCUUUUGGAAUGAACUUGCAUUUGCUUCCAACCAUCAUGCCAAGGGUCGACAUGGAUAUAAAGAUGAAUCAUUUGUUUCGAAAUGA